GAAGCCUGCUGAGUUUAUAGAGUAGAUGUCACUAAUGAGGUGAAUAAUGCAUCGUACUGGCUGUUUACCUUAUGUAGUAAAUGUGAACAAUUAGUGAGACAAUGUUUUGAUGCAUGCAUCGAUGAAAAUGUACUUUUGUGCCUUCAACGUAUAUUGUGUUAAUCUCCGAUACAUUUUGCAUGAGAAGGUUUGCAGUUGUUGUUCGUUCCAUUUUGUAUGGCAAUUUCAGGAGUUUGGCCAAUGAGUUGCUAUAUUGCUGUAUGCAUAUAGCAGUCAGUUUGUAACAAACUAGCUUUUAAUGUGGUGUUUCAAAA
RNAcentral lists this long non-coding RNA (314 nucleotides) under Triticum aestivum (bread wheat). Its description in RNAcentral is "long non-coding RNA (TAES_LNC007659)". The record is from RNAcentral. Lineage: Eukaryota; Viridiplantae; Streptophyta; Magnoliopsida; Poales; Poaceae.